This 1013-nucleotide long non-coding RNA is filed under the name Nicotiana tabacum (common tobacco). Its description in RNAcentral is "long non-coding RNA (NTAB_LNC019584)". The record is from RNAcentral. Lineage: Eukaryota; Viridiplantae; Streptophyta; Magnoliopsida; Solanales; Solanaceae.
UUAGACUAGAACAAGAAUUAAAGAAGCAAAGAUCUUUUAAUUUAUCAAAAGAAUUCUCAAAAAACUUCUUUUAACUUGCGAAUCCAUAAGUCUUCAGCGGCAGCACUUGGUGCAGACUGGGGGAAUCACCUCUAUGUUGCAGUCACAGCAGGCUUUUUGGCAUGUGCUCGUGCAUGCUGCAAAUACAAAACAAAACAAAAAAAUUAAAAGCAAAAAUGACAAUGGCAAAGUAGCAAAUUUGGCCCCAAAAAAUUUGCAAAUUUGGCAAUGUAUGCGAAAUUUUAACAUAUAUAACACAUAUUUAACUUAUAUACAUUGAAAAUAAAAAAAAAAUUACAAUUUUAACUUGUAGGAGGUCUUAUUUUUUAGAUUACUAAUCCCACCAAUUAAUAACUUUUAAUUAUUUUUAAGUAAUAUGAUAGUUUAAAAUUCAUUUUGAACAGUUGAGAAUGAAUUUGUGGCAUAAAUCAAACUAAGUCAAGAGUAUUUGUCAUAAGGGACAUGUUACGUGAAAGCUAAUGGUAAAACAUCUGUUGGCUGCAAAGUUAAAAGAGAUUGGGAGAUAACAUAUUUACUCCCUUCGUUUCAUUUUAGACGAUGGCAUAUGACUGGACAGUUUAAGGGGGAAAAAACACUUUUCGCUCAUACCAAAAGUAUUUUUAGAAAUUUUUAUCUUAAAACAUGUUGUGACGUUUCUAUGACUAGGUAAAUUAGAAAGUUUAAAGUUAAAAAAAUUUUAAAUAUAAAAAAGUUUAUUUUUUAAAAAAAAUCAACUUAUAAAGAAAGAUCGCCGUAUAAAAUGGAAAGGAAAUAGAAUUGUAUUGUACGGUAGAUAAUAACAUCUAAUGCUCGUCCAUGCUGCAGACGGCUGACGACAAACGGCUUUGGGGAAUUAGCUCCAGCUUCAACCUCCACACAAAUUAUAGAGGCCAACAGAACAAGAAUAGAGGCGAUUACUAAGAACUUUGCCAUGGUUUCACCAAUCUAAAAAUGAAAAACAACCAGGAAAUUGC